AAAGUAAGGGCGUAUGGGGAAUGCCUAGGCUCUCAGAGGCGAAGAAGGACGUGAUAAGCUGCGAUAAGUUGCGGGGAUUGGCACAUACAAAUUGAUCCGCAAAUUUCCGAAUGGGGCAACCCACUAUGUUGAAGACAUAGUACCUUUAAUUAGGAGCAAACCCGGGGAACUGAAACAUCUAAGUACCCGGAGGAAGAGAAAACAAUAGUGAUUUCGUUAGUAGCGGCGAGCGAACGCGAAUUAGCCCAAACCAGAUUUGUUACGGCAAAUCUGGGGUUGUAGGACCACGAUAUUUGAAACACAAUGAAUUAGAAUCCUUUGGAAAGAGGAGCCAUAGACGGUGAUAGCCCGGUAUAAGUAAAGCGUGCGUAGAUAGUGGUAUCCUGAGUAGUGCGGGGCACGUGAAACCCUGUAUGAAUCAGCCGGGACCAUCCGGUAAGGCUAAAUACUCCUGAGAGACCGAUAGUGAACUAGUACCGUGAGGGAAAGGUGAAAAGAACCCUGAAUAAGGGAGUGAAAUAGAUCCUGAAACCAUACGCUUACAAGCGGUCGGAGCUGACUUGAUCAGUGACGGCGUGCCUUUUGCAUAAUGAGCCUACGAGUUACUGUUGUUAGCAAGGUUAAGUACUUCAGGUACGGAUCCGUAGCGAAAGCGAGUCUGAAUAGGGCGCUAUAGUUAGUUUGAGUAGACGCGAAACCGUGUGAUCUACCCAUGGGCAGGGUGAAGCUGUAGUAACAUACAGUGGAGGCCCGAACCGAUAUACGUUGAAAAGUGUUCGGAUGACCUGUGGGUAGGGGUGAAAGGCCAAUCAAACUCGGAAAUAGCUCGUACUCCCCGAAAUGCAUUUAGGUGCAGCGUUGAUUUAUAGUUUUAUAGAGGUAGAGCUACUGAUUGGAUGCGGGGGCUUCACCGCCUACCAAUUCCUGACAAACUCCGAAUGCUAUAAAAUGUUAAUCAGCAGUGAGGGCAUGGGUGCUAAGGUCCAUGUCCGAGAGGGAAAGAACCCAGACCAUCAGCUAAGGUCCCCAAAUGUAUGUUAAGUUGAAAAAACGCGGUUGAACUGCUUAGACAGCUAGGAUGUUGGCUUGGAAGCAGCCAUUCAUUUAAAGAGUGCGUAACAGCUCACUAGUCGAGCGGUUCGGCAUGGAUAAUAAUCGGGCAUAAACAUACUACCGAAGCUAUGGGAUCCUGCAAGAGCAGUGAUCGGUAGGGGAGCAUUCUAAUUGUGUUGAAGGUGUGCUGUGAGGCAUGCUGGAACGGUUAGAAAAGAAAAUGUAGGCAUAAGUAACGAUAAUGCGGGCGAGAAACCCGCACACCGAAAGACCAAGGUUUCCUCAGCUAUGCUAAUCAGCUGAGGGUUAGUCGGGACCUAACGCGAACCCGAAAGGGGUAGUGGAUGGACAACAGGUUAAUAUUCCUGUACCUGCUCACGCUAAAAGUGACGGAGGCGAGAAGUUGGUGCGUACAGACGGAAUUGUACGUUGAAGGGAGUGGUAACACCCCGAUAGUACACCGAGACCACGGUCAAGGUGAUAAUCCAGCAUAUCGACUUCCAAGAAAAGCGAGUGAAGCAGCCCGUACCGUAAACCGACACAGGUGGUUGGGAUGAGAAUUCUAAGGUGCUCGAGAGAUUCAUGGCUAAGGAACUAGGCAAAAUCGACCCGUAACUUCGGGAGAAGGGUCGCCCAUCUUUUAGAUGGGCCGCAGUGAAGAGGUCCAGGCGACUGUUUAUCAAAAACACAGGGCUCUGCUAAAUGGAAACAUGAAGUAUAGGGCCUGACACCUGCCCGGUGCCGGAAGGUUAAGAGGAGGGUUUAGCUUCGGCGAAGAUCUGAAUUGAAGCCCCGGUAAACGGCGGCCGUAACAAUAACGGUCCUAAGGUAGCG
This 1887-nucleotide ribosomal RNA is filed under the name uncultured eukaryote. RNAcentral's name for it is "partial Bacterial large subunit ribosomal RNA". It matches the Rfam family "Bacterial large subunit ribosomal RNA", at positions 1 to 1961 of the family's 2925-position model. The record is from RNAcentral.